Molecule: ribosomal RNA, 1340 nt
Filed under: Serratia sp. Nf2
Lineage: Bacteria; Pseudomonadati; Pseudomonadota; Gammaproteobacteria; Enterobacterales; Yersiniaceae
Description: bacterial LSU rRNA
Rfam family: Bacterial large subunit ribosomal RNA
Source: RNAcentral
CAGGUAACAUUAAAUCGUACCCCAAACCGACACAGGUGGUCAGGUAGAGAAUACCAAGGCGCUUGAGAGAACUCGGGUGAAGGAACUAGGCAAAAUGGUGCCGUAACUUCGGGAGAAGGCACGCUGGCAUGUAGGUGAAGUCCCUUGCGGAUGGAGCUGAAGCCAGUCGAAGAUACCAGCUGGCUGCAACUGUUUAAUAAAAACACAGCACUGUGCAAACACGAAAGUGGACGUAUACGGUGUGACGCCUGCCCGGUGCUGGAAGGUUAAUUGAUGGGGUCAGCCGCAAGGCGAAGCUCUUGAUCGAAGCCCCAGUAAACGGCGGCCGUAACUAUAACGGUCCUAAGGUAGCGAAAUUCCUUGUCGGGUAAGUUCCGACCUGCACGAAUGGCGUAAUGAUGGCCAGGCUGUCUCCACCCGAGACUCAGUGAAAUUGAACUCGCUGUGAAGAUGCAGUGUACCCGCGGCAAGACGGAAAGACCCCGUGAACCUUUACUAUAGCUUGACACUGAACAUUGAGCCUUGAUGUGUAGGAUAGGUGGGAGGCUUUGAAGCGUGGACGCCAGUCUGCGUGGAGCCAACCUUGAAAUACCACCCUUUAAUGUUUGAUGUUCUAACUCGGCCCCGUGAUCCGGGGUGAGGACAGUGUCUGGUGGGUAGUUUGACUGGGGCGGUCUCCUCCCAAAGAGUAACGGAGGAGCACGAAGGUUAGCUAAUCACGGUCGGACAUCGUGAGGUUAGUGCAAAGGCAUAAGCUAGCUUGACUGCGAGAGUGACGGCUCGAGCAGGUACGAAAGUAGGUCUUAGUGAUCCGGUGGUUCUGAAUGGAAGGGCCAUCGCUCAACGGAUAAAAGGUACUCCGGGGAUAACAGGCUGAUACCGCCCAAGAGUUCAUAUCGACGGCGGUGUUUGGCACCUCGAUGUCGGCUCAUCACAUCCUGGGGCUGAAGUAGGUCCCAAGGGUAUGGCUGUUCGCCAUUUAAAGUGGUACGCGAGCUGGGUUUAGAACGUCGUGAGACAGUUCGGUCCCUAUCUGCCGUGGGCGUUGGAAGAUUGAGAGGGGUUGCUCCUAGUACGAGAGGACCGGAGUGAACGCACCACUGGUGUUCGGGUUGUCAUGCCAAUGGCAUUGCCCGGUAGCUAAGUGCGGAAAAGAUAAGCGCUGAAAGCAUCUAAGCGCGAAACUUGCCUCAAGAUGAGUCUUCCCUGGGCCUUUAAGGCCCCUGAAGGAACGUUUAAGACUAAGACGUUGAUAGGCUGGGUGUGUAAGUGCAGCGAUGCAUUGAGCUAACCAGUACUAAUGAUCCGUGAGGCUUAACCUUACAACACCGAAGGUGUUU